ACUCACACGCCAUCGGCCCAUUCUUUACUCUCUCCCUCUCUCUGAUGCACCAGCAGGUCACUCACACCAUAUCGCCACUGCCCACUGUUGGGUAAGCCCUCCUCUAAUCUCCUCAUCGGAUCAGAAGAAUCCCAGCGAAUCCAGGGAAAGAAGACUCCCUCCGAGUCCCGUCCGAGACGCAGAGUGUCAGCUCCGACCCCGAGCGGAUGGCGUCGCCGCCGGAGGGGGUGGAGCCGGCGGUGAUCCACGCGUGGUCGGCGCCGCGCUCCCUCAGCACCAGCCUCAUGUACUCCUUCUCCGAGAGGGAUGACAUGGAUGUGCUUGACGAGCCUCUCUACGCUAAUUUCCUGCGUGUCACCGGCGUUGACAGGCCCUACCGCCAGGAGCUUCUCUCUAAAAUGGAUCCAGAUGGCAACAAAGUUGUCAAAGAAGUGAUUUUUGGACCAGGAGAGAAAGCAUAUCGUUACUGCAAGCACAUUGCGAAGCAGCGCCUCCCUAAUCUCACAGGUGACCUGAUGAAGAAGGGAAAACAUUUCAUAUUAAUACGUAAUCCUAUGAAUAUCCUGCCAUCAUUUGAUAAAGUUGUUCCACCAUCCUUCCUGGAGCUCGGUGUAGCAGAACUUGUUGCAAUAUACAGUGAGUUGUGUGAGCUUGGGAGCCCUCCACCUGUGAUAGAUGCAGAUGAUCUCCGAAGAGAUCCUGAGGCCGUCUUGAGUGGACUCUGUGAGGACCUGGGUAUUCCUUUCCAGCCACAAAUGCUCAAAUGGAAAGCUGGCCCAAGGGAACUUUGAUGGUAUUUGGGCCCCCUGGUGGUAUGAAAGUGUACAUACAUCUACAGGCUUCUCGAAAUCCCGUCGUUACCCUAUGACUUUUCCAUUUGCAUUUUAUGACCUACUUGAGCAAAGCUUGCCCUUCUACAAUAUGCUGAAGCGCCAGGUACGGAGAACAACAGGAUCCCUGCUGCCACCACCACCUGAUCCUCCUCUUCCUGUACCAGAAAAUAAAAAAAUUCUUGUUUGGGUUGGAGAUGAACUUUUGCCACGUGAUAGUGCAAGGGUUUCAGUGUUCGAUUCAGUUGUACAAGGAGGGGAUGCUGUGUGGGAAGGAUUGCGUAUAUAUGAUGGGAAAGUAUUCAAACUUGAAGAACACUUGGAUAGAUUGUUUGAUUCUACAAAAGCUAUGGCCUUCAGCAAUGUGCCCAGUCGUGAUUGGAUUAAGGAUGCAAUAUUUAAGACUCUUAACGCAAAUGGGAUGUUCAAUAAUGCACAUAUAAGGCUCACUCUCACCCGUGGGAAGAAGGUGACAUCUGGAAUGAGUCCAGCUUUCAAUCUAUAUGGGUGUGUCUUGAUUGUACUUGCAGAGUGGAAACCACCAGUUUAUGAUAACUCACAUGGGAUAAAGUUGGUAACUGCCACCACGCGUCGUAAUUCUCCAAAUAGCGUAGAUUCGAAGAUACAUCACAACAAUCUUAUUAACAACAUUCUGGCAAAGAUAGAAGGUAAUCUUGCACAGGCUGAGGAUGCUAUCAUGCUAGAUCAAGAUGGUUUUGUAUCAGAAACAAAUGCAACAAACAUAUUUAUGGUUAAGAAGGGCAUUGUAUUGACACCUCAUGCGGACUACUGCCUUCCAGGAAUUACCCGUGCAACUGUCAUGGAUCUUGUUGUGAAAGAAAACCUGGUAUUACAUGAACGGCGAAUUAGUCUAUCUGAAUUUCAUGCUGCAGAUGAGGUGUGGACAACCGGAACAAUGGGUGAAAUUACACCGGUCGUGAUGAUUGACGGCCGUGAAAUUGGUGAUGGGAAAAUCGGUCCGGUCACAAGACAAAUCCAGAGCGCAUACAAAGUCCUGACAGCAGGGUUAGGAGUACCAAUUCCCAGGAAUGCGGAGGCAUAAUCAUUUGUGCAGACAUUCUUCUUUUCCUUUUGAAAAGGAGAAGGCACCUGUUAUCUAUGGACAAACUUUCAGGGUUCAGUUUCGAGUAAUGAUAAUAAAUACUCCCUCCGUCCCGAAUUACUUGUCGUAGAAAUGGGUAAAAAUUGAUGUAUCUAGAACUAAAAUACGUCUAGAUACAUCUAUUUCUCCGACAGGUAUUUCCGGAUGGAGGGAGUAGUAGCUAGCGUUCAAAGAAGCACCCAGUGAAAGUGGCACAUCGGACAGAAAACUGAGUAUUCGAAAAUACUGGUUGGGUCUGUGAAUUCAUGAUUUAGUGUGUGCCUGUGUGCGCCGAAACCUGUUCCAUGUCAUUUGGAAGCUGUGGCUGGUCCUGGACAUAGAACAGAAAAUGGAAUGUUAUAUGCGGUUUUAUUUUCUGCU
RNA transcript from Triticum aestivum (bread wheat), 2313 nucleotides. It is a transcript of the gene named branched-chain-amino-acid aminotransferase-like protein 1, with no coding region annotated. Lineage: Eukaryota; Viridiplantae; Streptophyta; Magnoliopsida; Poales; Poaceae. The record is from RefSeq and is a predicted model, not a curated record. The transcript has 19 exons.